CAACAGAGCUGCUCAAGGCGGGAACUCUGAGCUAAGCAGUGGAGGUUUCUCUGGAUCUGGAGAGAAGAGUGACCUUGGAGCCAAUAAUGAGCCAUCCUGACUACAGAAUGAACCUCCGGCCCCUGGGGACCCCCAGAGGUGUGUCUGCUGUGGCUGGUCCACAUGACAUUGGUGCUUCGCCAGGUGACAAAAAGUCAAAGAACAGGUCCACACGAGGGAAGAAAAAGAGCAUAUUUGAAACUUACAUGUCCAAGGAGGAUGUUUCGGAAGGCUUGAAGAGAGGAACACUCAUCCAGGU
This 298-nucleotide long non-coding RNA is filed under the name Pan troglodytes (chimpanzee). Its description in RNAcentral is "long non-coding RNA NONPTRT010949". Lineage: Eukaryota; Metazoa; Chordata; Mammalia; Primates; Hominidae. The record is from RNAcentral.